AUCGCCCGGCUAAGCUUGGCCCUGGCAGAUGGGUCGCAGGAACAGGAGCCAGAGGAAGAGAUAGCCAUGGAGGACAGCCCCACUAUGGUUAGAGUGGACAGCCCCACUAUGGUUAGGGGUGAAAACCAGGUUUCGCCAUAUCAAGGGAGAAGGUGCUUCCCCAAAGCUCUUGGCUAUGUUACCGGUGACAUGAAAGAACUUGCCAACCAGCUUAAAGACAAACCUGUGGUGCUCCAGUUCAUUGACUGGAUUCUCCGGGGCAUAUCCCAAGUGGUGUUCGUCAACAACCCCAUCAGUGGAAUCCUGAUUCUGGUAGGACUUCUUGUUCAGAAUCCCUGGUGGGCUCUCACUGGCUGGCUGGGAACAGUGGUCUCCACUCUGAUGGCCCUCUUGCUCAGCCAGGACAGGUCAUUAAUAGCAUCUGGGCUCUAUGGCUACAAUGCCACCCUGGUGGGAAUACUCAUGGCUGUCUUUUCGGACAAGGGAGACUAUUUCUGGUGGCUGUUACUCCCUGUAUGUGCUAUGUCCAUGACUUGUUGUUGAAAUCUAUACCAGUGGGAGUUGGUCAGAUCUAUGGCUGUGAUAAUCCAUGGAC
This 595-nucleotide small RNA is filed under the name Pan troglodytes (chimpanzee). RNAcentral's name for it is "processed transcript". Lineage: Eukaryota; Metazoa; Chordata; Mammalia; Primates; Hominidae. The record is from RNAcentral.